UACCACUUUGUGGUUCAUGACUGGGUGAAGUCGUAACAAGGUAGCGCUAGGGGAACCUGGCGCUGGAUCACCUCCUUAAACGAUGAU
This 87-nucleotide ribosomal RNA is filed under the name Vibrio parahaemolyticus. RNAcentral describes it as "partial 16S ribosomal RNA". The stretch from base 1 to 78 matches the Rfam family "Bacterial small subunit ribosomal RNA", at positions 1455 to 1533 of the family's 1533-position model. The record is from RNAcentral. Lineage: Bacteria; Pseudomonadati; Pseudomonadota; Gammaproteobacteria; Vibrionales; Vibrionaceae.